This 702-nucleotide ribosomal RNA is filed under the name uncultured Pseudomonadota bacterium. RNAcentral's name for it is "bacterial SSU rRNA". It matches the Rfam family "Bacterial small subunit ribosomal RNA", at positions 28 to 719 of the family's 1533-position model. Lineage: Bacteria; Pseudomonadati; Pseudomonadota. The record is from RNAcentral.
AUUGAACGCUGGCGGCAGGCCUAACACAUGCAAGUCGAACGGUAACAGGAAUCAGCUUGCUGAUUCGCUGACGAGUGGCGGACGGGUGAGUAAUGUCUGGGAAACUGCCUGAUGGAGGGGGAUAACUACUGGAAACGGUAGCUAAUACCGCAUAACGUCGCAAGACCAAAGAGGGGGACCUUCGGGCCUCUUGCCAUCAGAUGUGCCCAGAUGGGAUUAGCUAGUAGGUGGGGUAACGGCUCACCUAGGCGACGAUCCCUAGCUGGUCUGAGAGGAUGACCAGCCACACUGGAACUGAGACACGGUCCAGACUCCUACGGGAGGCAGCAGUGGGGAAUAUUGCACAAUGGGCGCAAGCCUGAUGCAGCCAUGCCGCGUGUAUGAAGAAGGCCUUCGGGUUGUAAAGUACUUUCAGCGGGGAGGAAGGGAGUAAAGUUAAUACCUUUGCUCAUUGACGUUACCCGCAGAAGAAGCACCGGCUAACUCCGUGCCAGCAGCCGCGGUAAUACGGAGGGUGCAAGCGUUAAUCGGAAUUACUGGGCGUAAAGCGCACGCAGGCGGUUUGUUAAGUCAGAUGUGAAAUCCCCGGGCUCAACCUGGGAACUGCAUCUGAUACUGGCAAGCUUGAGUCUCGUAGAGGGGGGUAGAAUUCCAGGUGUAGCGGUGAAAUGCGUAGAGAUCUGGAGGAAUACCGGUGGCGAA